Molecule: non-coding RNA, 72 nt
Organism: Contarinia nasturtii (swede midge)
Lineage: Eukaryota; Metazoa; Arthropoda; Insecta; Diptera; Cecidomyiidae
Source: the annotation of a RefSeq genome assembly
GGCUCAAUGGUCUAGUGGUAUGAUUUCCGCUUAGGGUGCGGAAGACCCCGAGUUCGAUUCUCGGUUGAGCCC